RNAcentral lists this ribosomal RNA (274 nucleotides) under Citrobacter koseri. RNAcentral describes it as "partial 16S ribosomal RNA". It matches the Rfam family "Bacterial small subunit ribosomal RNA", at positions 990 to 1264 of the family's 1533-position model. The record is from RNAcentral. Lineage: Bacteria; Pseudomonadati; Pseudomonadota; Gammaproteobacteria; Enterobacterales; Enterobacteriaceae.
ACAGAACUUGGCAGAGAUGCCUUGGUGCCUUCGGGAACUGUGAGACAGGUGCUGCAUGGCUGUCGUCAGCUCGUGUUGUGAAAUGUUGGGUUAAGUCCCGCAACGAGCGCAACCCUUAUCCUUUGUUGCCAGCGGUCCGGCCGGGAACUCAAAGGAGACUGCCAGUGAUAAACUGGAGGAAGGUGGGGAUGACGUCAAGUCAUCAUGGCCCUUACGACCAGGGCUACACACGUGCUACAAUGGCAUAUACAAAGAGAAGCGACCUCGCGAGAGC